RNAcentral lists this long non-coding RNA (388 nucleotides) under Manihot esculenta (cassava). Its description in RNAcentral is "long non-coding RNA (MESC_LNC006464)". The record is from RNAcentral. Lineage: Eukaryota; Viridiplantae; Streptophyta; Magnoliopsida; Malpighiales; Euphorbiaceae.
CAAAGUGAUUUGCCCGGUGCUUUGACCAGUUUCUUCAAGUGAUUGGGCAAAUCACUGCCCAUAUCGCUUCUCUGUGAGUCAGUCUUCUGUGUCUUUGCGAGUGAUUUGACCAGUGAUCUUCGAGUUUCUUGGGCAAAUCACUGCCCAUAUCACUGCUAUCUGUUGCCUCCGGGUUUCUGCUUUGACUUGAUCUGGGCAGUGAUUGGAGCAGAUUUUUGGGCAAAUCACUGGGCAAAUCAUCCUUUUGUAAUUUUUCUGCACUUUUUCUCCCAUUUUCCAAUUUCUUCCUUUUCUGUAAAAACAAGAUAAAAAUCAUAAAUUAAUCUAAAAAAUGUGUAAAUAAGCAAUAAUAAUUAUGAUAAAAAUGUGACUAAAUUAUGCUUGAUCA